CUUAAGAUGCUAAAGAGGUGCUAUCUACAGCUGUUUUGCUAGAGUUUAUCUCUCUUGCCAAAGACACUAUUGGAAAAACUAAAAGAAGAAGUUGGAGAUCUGCCAGUUAGCUAUCGAAGUGAUUAACUACAGGAUGCUUUUGCUCAUGGUGUGUGCUGCAGAAGACAGAGCCUGGGAAGUGACUACACCCUUUGAAGGAGGCCAGAAUGUCGUGAAUGAAUGCAGGUUCCGCUACUGGGAUGUUUAAAGUUGCAUAAAUAGCUGGAAUUUGUAGCUCAUACUGCUCUUCCACCUGUUGGCACUGUGACAGGACUAUCAUUCUCCUUCACUGACCUCGAGAAGAGUACAGUGCUACAUCACGAAUGAAUGUUCCACCUUCCCUCCCUGACCCUGUCUGUCCCCCAUAGAAUCCAUGCAUGCUCUGUAAAAGGUGCCACUCCAGGCAUAGCACUUGAAGACUGUCAGCUGUACCAUGGAAACACUUCCCUUUGUGGAAAUCUCACAUGAUCUCCAUAGUCAUGUUACAUACUGAGUUCUUUAAGA
Mus musculus (house mouse) is the source of this 543-nucleotide long non-coding RNA. RefSeq annotates it as predicted gene, 40293. The record is from RefSeq and is a predicted model, not a curated record. The transcript is spliced from 4 exons. NCBI's taxonomy places the organism in Eukaryota, Metazoa, Chordata, Mammalia, Rodentia, Muridae.